Molecule: ribosomal RNA, 371 nt
Filed under: Phelsuma laticauda (broad-tailed day gecko)
Lineage: Eukaryota; Metazoa; Chordata; Lepidosauria; Squamata; Gekkonidae
Description: partial 12S ribosomal RNA
Rfam family: Bacterial small subunit ribosomal RNA
Source: RNAcentral
CCCACUAAUUUGCUCGCCAGAAAAUUACAAGCGAAAGCACAAAAUUCAAAGGACUUGACGGUGUUCCACAUCAGCCUAGAGGAGCCUGUCCCAUAAUCGAUAACCCACGUUUUACCUCACCUACUCUUGCUACUUCAGCCUGUAUACCGCCGUCGCCAGCCCAUCUAAUGAUAGAACUAAAAUGGACAAAAUUGUUUUAACCACAAAAACGUCAGGUCAAGGUGCAGCUAAUGAAUAGGCUGAGAUGGGCUACAUUUUUUAAUUUAAAAAAUCACUACGAGCAACAUGAAACAAAGAGCUAUCAAAGGUGGAUUUAGCAGUAAAUAUGUGCAAGUUAUGCCACAUUGAAACUUGUCCUGGAACGCGUACAC